GUUUCCGUAGUGUAAUGGUUAUCACAUCUGCAAAACAUGCAGAAGGUCCUGAGUUCAAAAUGCAGCUGAGACA
Non-coding RNA from Biomphalaria pfeifferi, 73 nucleotides. NCBI's taxonomy places the organism in Eukaryota, Metazoa, Mollusca, Gastropoda, Planorbidae. The record is from the annotation of a GenBank genome assembly.